Molecule: unclassified non-coding RNA, 306 nt
Filed under: plant metagenome
Description: partial contains 5.8S ribosomal RNA, internal transcribed spacer 2, and large subunit ribosomal RNA
Rfam family: 5.8S ribosomal RNA (bases 1-104)
Source: RNAcentral
AAAUGCGCUAAGUAAUGUGCAUUGCAGAAUUCAGUGAAUCAUCGAAUCUUUGAACGCACAUUGCGCCCGCCAGCACUCUGGCGGGCAUGCCUGUUCGAGCGUCAUUUCAACCCUCAGAACCCCUUGCGGGAUCUGGCGUUGGGGAUUGGCAUCCAGCCAGCCCCGAAAUCUAGUGGCGGUCCCUCCGCGACCUCCCCUGUGCAGUAGCGAUACCUCGCAGCGGGACAGCGGUCUGACCACGCCGUAAAACCCCCAACUUCUCAAGGUUGACCUCGAAUCAGGUAGGAAUACCCGCUGAACUUAAGC